CAACAGGGAAGCUGCAGGAAGGUUGAAAAAAGCACAGCAAAGCAGGGAGAGCCUCCUCGGUGGAGAGCAACGCCCAGGUCAUGUGGAGUGGGCCAGCUUUAAUGAACCUGUCUAAAAGGAAGGAAGAGAAAGAGCUCGGCUCAUUAGGGGAACAAGGAGGACCUUGGCGGCGGUCUCACUCCUCGCCAGCUCUUCACCUCAGAUCUUGUCCUGACUUCCUGGUCCACUAACAGCCUCCUGGAUAGAAGAGUCAGUUCACCAGCCCAGAAGACGUUCUGAAAAUUGACAGUGAUCAUGAUAUAGCCUGGGUCCAGAAUACUUCUCUGUACGAUGG
Cercocebus atys (sooty mangabey) is the source of this 334-nucleotide long non-coding RNA. RefSeq lists it as uncharacterized. The record is from RefSeq and is a predicted model, not a curated record. Lineage: Eukaryota; Metazoa; Chordata; Mammalia; Primates; Cercopithecidae. The transcript is spliced from 3 exons.